GACCCAGUGGCCUAGUGGAUACGGCACCAGCCUUUGGAGCUGGGGAUUGUGGGUUUAAGUCCCACCUGGGUCA
Molecule: non-coding RNA, 73 nt
Organism: Sinocyclocheilus grahami
Lineage: Eukaryota; Metazoa; Chordata; Actinopteri; Cypriniformes; Cyprinidae
Source: the annotation of a RefSeq genome assembly